This is a long non-coding RNA of Rhododendron vialii, 948 nucleotides long. RefSeq lists it as uncharacterized. The transcript has 2 exons. Lineage: Eukaryota; Viridiplantae; Streptophyta; Magnoliopsida; Ericales; Ericaceae. The record is from RefSeq and is a predicted model, not a curated record.
GAACACAUGAGGCCCACCCACCACGUCAACAUCAGAAAGCAAAUCGGGAAAACAAGUCAAACUAUAGACUUUCUGUACCUUUUUGGGAUUUUAAUCAUAUUUUUAUUACUUUCAAGUUACUUCUAAAUUCCGAAAGGUAAAAAGCUUUUGACUCCCCCAAUUUGUAGUUUAUUGCUAUGUAUUUAUGAUUAAUUAGUGUAAAUUAAUUUUUUUUACCGUAUUUUAUAAUAUUCGAUACGUAUCUCGAUACGAUAUGAAAAAUCAUAAAACCGAUACACGAUACGUAUCCCAAUUUGAAAGCCUUGGUUGAGAUCUAGCUGAUUUUCUGACCUAGAUACUCACAGACUGGUUAUGAUGAAUUGAUGAACUGCUUAGUUCUUUGUUUGAUUGGAAAGAAAAUAGAACAUAAAAUUUUGAUCUUGGUUUGUCAAAAAGUGAAAAAAAAAAAAAAAAAACCCCCAAAUAUUGUGCCGAUGCCAUAGACCACGGAAGUGACGGAGACCAUGGCUAGCUCGUGGAGGAGGAGGGCCGCUGGAGAUUGUGGCUGAGACAACUGAGAAAUUUCGUGGCCAAAAGUUUACUUUUAUCCCCCUGUGAUUAGAUGAGUUUCUUAUUCUCUGCUGGACUUCUGUACGAGAUCAACAAGCUUUAAGGGAUGACGCUUAUCUAAAACAAGAAGGCACUGAGGAACAUGUUGAAGAUUUUGUUGCAUUUUCCGCAGAUUUGAGUUUGACCCUUUGAAACAUUAAAUGUGAGUUGUUUUUUUACAUUGAGCAAUUAAAACAUCUACAACACUCACGGGACAAACAGUAACUCGUUGAAGUAAGUUUUUGAUUGGAGAAUGUUGAUGCAAUUAGACAUGGCCCAUCUAAUUUCUGACUUGAUGCAUACCAAAUUGUGUGGUAGUAUGUAGAGAUUUGAAUGCAUGGUUGCAUAUGUUGUUUCUGA